UGCGCUCGAACGAGAAGUCCUUCGGUGGCGAGUAGAGUGGCGCACGGGUGAGUAACACGUAGGUGACCUGCCUUUUAGUGGGGGAUAACUCGGAGAAAUUCGGGCUAAUACCGCAUACGAAGUACAAUUUUGAAAGUAGUACUUGGAAGACUGCCUCUAUACUAUGCAGUUACUAAAAGAUGGGCCUGCGGGACAUUAGCUUGAUGGUGGGGUAACGGCCUACCAUGGCGACGAUGUCUAGCUGGUCUGAGAGGAUGAUCAGCCACACUGGAACUGAGACACGGUCCAGACUCCUACGGGAGGCAGCAGUGGGGAAUAUUGCGCAAUGGACGAAAGUCUGACGCAGCAAUACCGCGUGAGUGAGGAAGGCCUUCGGGUUGUAAAGCUCUGUCAAUGUGGAAAAACGGCAUAGGGUCUAAUAGGCCUUAUGUUUGAUGGUACACAUAAAGGAAGCACCGGCUAACUUCGUGCCAGCAGCCGCGGUAAUACGAAGGGUGCAAGCGUUGUUCGGAUUUAUUGGGCGUAAAGCGCGCGCAGGCGGAUUGAUAAGUCAGAUGUGAAAUCUCGGGGCUCAACCUCGAAACUGCGUCUGAAACUGUUAGUCUAGAGUCUCG
RNAcentral lists this ribosomal RNA (614 nucleotides) under uncultured bacterium. RNAcentral describes it as "bacterial SSU rRNA". It matches the Rfam family "Bacterial small subunit ribosomal RNA", at positions 56 to 651 of the family's 1533-position model. The record is from RNAcentral.